Molecule: ribosomal RNA, 467 nt
Filed under: uncultured bacterium
Lineage: Bacteria
Description: partial 16S ribosomal RNA
Rfam family: Bacterial small subunit ribosomal RNA
Source: RNAcentral
GAUGAACGCUGGCGGCGUGCUUAACACAUGCAAGUCGAACGGUGAACACGGAGCUUGCUCUGUGGGAUCAGUGGCGAACGGGUGAGUAACACGUGAGCAACCUGCCCCUGACUCUGGGAUAAGCGCUGGAAACGGCGUCUAAUACUGGAUAUGUGACGUGACCGCAUGGUCUGCGUUUGGAAAGAUUUUUCGGUUGGGGAUGGGCUCGCGGCCUAUCAGCUUGUUGGUGAGGUAAUGGCUCACCAAGGCGUCGACGGGUAGCCGGCCUGAGGGGGUGACCGGCCACCGGGGGAGUGAGAACCGGCCCAGGCCCCUAGGGGGGGGCGGGGGGGGGAAUUUUGCAAAAGGGGCAAGAGCCUGGUGCAGACACCCCGGGGGGGGGGAGGGCGUCUUGGGGGUGAAAAACUUUUUUUAGGGGGAAAGAGGGAAAGUGGCGGUACCUGGAAAAAAAACCGCGGCAAAACGUG